GACUCUUUAAACGGCCGCGGUAUCCUAACCGUGCAAAAAGGUAGCAUAAUCACUUGUCCCCUAAAUAGGGACUAGAAUGAACGGCUAAAUGAGGACUAAACUGUCUCCUGAAUUCAACCAAUGAAACUGAUCUUUCAGUCCAAAAGCUGAAAUAUAAACAUAAGACGAGAAGACCCUGUGGAGCUUAUAAACCCAACCCAUUAAAAUGUCUACCUGGGUUUUUGGUUGGGGCGACCUCGGAGAACAAAAUAUCCUCCGACCAAGGAACCUACGUUCCAAAACAAGAUAAACAAAUCAAAAUCAUUGACCCAGUGGCUAACACCAACUGAUCAACGAACCAAGUUACCCCAGGGAUAACAGCGCCAUCCUCUUUUAGAGUCCAUAUCGACAAGAGGGCUUACGACCUCGAUGUUGGAUCAGGACAUCCCAAUAGUGCAGCAGCUAUUAAAGGUUCGUUUGUUCAACGAUUAAUAGUCCU
Molecule: ribosomal RNA, 478 nt
Filed under: Latastia longicaudata
Lineage: Eukaryota; Metazoa; Chordata; Lepidosauria; Squamata; Lacertidae
Description: partial 16S ribosomal RNA
Rfam family: Bacterial large subunit ribosomal RNA
Source: RNAcentral